Molecule: transfer RNA, 75 nt
Filed under: Candidatus Omnitrophota bacterium
Lineage: Bacteria; Pseudomonadati; Candidatus Omnitrophota
Description: tRNA-Cys
Rfam family: tRNA
About the family: Transfer RNA (tRNA) molecules are approximately 80 nucleotides in length. Their secondary structure includes four short double-helical elements and three loops (D, anti-codon, and T loops).
Source: RNAcentral
GGCGGCGUAGCCAAGUGGGAAGGCAGAGGUCUGCAAAACCUCUACUCAGCGGUUCGAAUCCGCUCGCCGCCUCCA